RNAcentral lists this long non-coding RNA (1334 nucleotides) under Homo sapiens (human). Its description in RNAcentral is "non-protein coding lnc-SEMA3C-3:1". The record is from RNAcentral. Lineage: Eukaryota; Metazoa; Chordata; Mammalia; Primates; Hominidae.
AGAGUUCCUGCAACUGGCUGUCUGGGGCAGCUAUGAGAAUGCUGGCAGGAGUUGCUGACUAGCCAGUGUUUGGUGAAGAUGAAAAACAGCCUUUUAGUUAGAACUGAAACUUCUAAAUAGCAAUCUGAUUGUACAAACUGACUUGAGUUGUUUGUUAGUACUAACAUAUUAAGAGGGGAAUAAAUUUGCUAUCUGUCUGCAAUAGCUUUCUCAAAUAUGUCAAUGCAUUUGAAGCACCUUGCGAAGAAUUAUUAUUUAAUCAGUGGACAUUAGAACUCCUAUUUUGAUGGAUUCUUUAGAAAAAUACCUUGAUUUUUGCAGUUGAAAAGUGAGAAAGGUUCUGUUGACAGAGAACUAAGAAAUAUGUAAACUUGUUUCUUAAGAAACAAACACUAAAUUGAAGAUGGAAAAAAGGGGAAAGAAAAGAGAUGGAAGGAAGGUGACCAAGGAAUAGAGCAGAAGAAUGAAAGAGUGGAUGAAAAUCUAUAGAAAAGCAAUGCCUAAUAAAUAGCAUUUAUAUUAGUGGUGCAAAUUUUCCCUCCAUGUGAUAAUAUAUACAGAUAGAUAUAUAUUUUACAUUGGGAUUUUGAUUAUUUAAUAUUUAUUUUUAGAUUGUGUUCACUAUCUGUGAUAUAAAGAAAUUCAAAAACUUCUUUCCUGGUUAUGAAACAUUGUGUUACUCAUUGCCUUUUUUUCAAAAACAGAAACUGGACAAUUAAGGCUAAGUGCAAUCACUCUGUUUAAAUUUAUUGGGCAAUAGUUGCAUGAUCUUCAGUUGUGGAAUUUGUGUGUCAAGGCUCAUAUGACAAUUCCUUUAUGGCACUGAAAUAAGACUGUACUUGUCUUUGCUUUGUCCUUUCGGCCUGCCCUUGGUGAACUCCUUAUUGCAAUGAAUUCGUAUUUCUGAAUCUAAAGAUGACUAGCUUCUAGCUGCUAAGUUAAAUUUAAACCUCCGUGAGGACACCAGCUGUCCCUAAGUGAGAUAAUUUGCUAUUUUCCUCGGGCCAAAAAUUCCAGUUUGGGGUAAGACAGGGCCUUGAAAUGCACAUUCCCUAAGAGGUUACUUUUGAUCCAGAGAUCUCUUAAAGUGUUAAUGAAUUUCCACACACAUGAGCACCCUGCAUUUUUUUCCUUUUGGGUUAAAAACCGAAGAGGUCUAUAAGGAGACUGUCUCAGAACUUUGGUUCCCAGAACCAUUAUUUAUAUUCAGCUUCAGUGUUCCUUAUUUAUUAGCUGGGACCUAGCAGAGCAGUUACAGCAACAGAAAACAGCAGAUGGCAAAUUUCAUGGUGGCGAUAACACAAUAACUGAGAAGUAUGUGGUGAGCAAUAUGG